This is a non-coding RNA of Acanthosepion pharaonis, 114 nucleotides long. NCBI's taxonomy places the organism in Eukaryota, Metazoa, Mollusca, Cephalopoda, Sepiida, Sepiidae. The record is from the annotation of a GenBank genome assembly.
UACAGCCACAUCAUGUUGAAACACUGGUUCCCGUACAAUCACUAAAGUUAAGCAAUGUCAAGCUUGGUCAGUACCUAGAUGGGUGAGGACUUGAGAAAUUACAGAUGCUGUAAG